Non-coding RNA from Myotis lucifugus (little brown bat), 75 nucleotides. NCBI's taxonomy places the organism in Eukaryota, Metazoa, Chordata, Mammalia, Chiroptera, Vespertilionidae. The record is from Rfam.
GGCAGUUCUUGGAUGAUGCACCCUGGAGUCAGGCUCCCUCCUCUCUGGAUCCAGGUGUAUCACCCGAGAACUGUA